Molecule: ribosomal RNA, 441 nt
Filed under: uncultured bacterium
Lineage: Bacteria
Description: partial 16S ribosomal RNA
Rfam family: Bacterial small subunit ribosomal RNA
Source: RNAcentral
CCUACGAGAGGCAGCAGUGAGGAAUAUUGCACAAUGGGGGAAACCCUGAUGCAGCGACGCCGCGUGAGUGAAGAAGUAUUUCGGUAUGUCAAGCUCUAUCAGCAGGGAAGCAGAAAGACGGUACCUGACUAAGAAGCCCCGGCUAAAUACGUUCCAGCAGCCGCGGUAAUACGUAGGGGGCAAGCGUUAACCGGAUUUACUGGGUGGAAAGGGAGCGUAGACGGCCGUGCAAGUCUGAAGUGAAAGCCCAGGGCUCAACCCUGGGACUGCUUUGGAAACUGUGGAGCUGGAGUGCUGGAGAGGUAAGUGGAAUUCCUAGUGUAGCGGUGAAAUGCGUAGAUAUUAGGAGGAACACCAGUGGCGAAGGCGGCUUACUGGACAGUAACUGACGUUGAGGCUCGAAAGCGUGGGGAGCAAACAGGAUUAGAUACCCCAGUAGUC